UGGUGGAGUGAUUUGUCUGGUUAAUUCCGUUAACGAACGAGACCUUAACCUAUUAAAUAGUUACGCGAACUUUGACCUCCGGGUCUUUUCGUUCACGGUAAACUUCUUAGAGGGACUCUUCACACUUAGUGAAUGGAAGUUUGAGGCAACAACA
Molecule: ribosomal RNA, 154 nt
Filed under: uncultured eukaryote
Lineage: Eukaryota
Description: partial 18S ribosomal RNA
Rfam family: Eukaryotic small subunit ribosomal RNA
Source: RNAcentral